This is a long non-coding RNA of Nerophis lumbriciformis (worm pipefish), 1642 nucleotides long. RefSeq lists it as uncharacterized. The record is from RefSeq and is a predicted model, not a curated record. NCBI's taxonomy places the organism in Eukaryota, Metazoa, Chordata, Actinopteri, Syngnathiformes, Syngnathidae.
GUAUGUCAAACACUUACGGACAUAACGCGCACUUCCGGUGGAGCACUUGACCUCCCGGUGUCCUGUUGGAAAAGCGGUGCUGUUCGCCGGUACCGCCGCGCUGUGACUGGACGCAAGGACACUGCUCACUUUAUUCUCACCACGAUGGUUCCACACUCCCAGCCCGUCUCACCUUGUAGAUGACUUUGGGCUCAAAGGAGCAGACGAUGCUGCUGUUGUACAGUACCGAGUGCUUCUUGUGCAAAGCUGAAAGAGCUGCUGCGGCCUGCCAAGGAAUGGACAGCCACAUGGUUAUUACAGGAUUGAGGACGCUUUUGGGUACGAUGUUUGGCUGCUGCAUCUGGAGGCCAGCUGGGGCCGGUCCAUCCAGGUUGGAACCUGCUACAUCCUGGGUUCUUUCCAUCCGGUGGCUCUGUCGAUCCGGCGCCGAGGGCUACUACAGUGCUGUCGAGCGUCAUGAGCCCUGGUUUUGGUCCGGCGUCGUGGCCUGCUUCUUCUGCCGACCUGUUGGGGACCACCGCGGCGAUCCACCUGGCUGACCCGGUAGCCCUGGAGCCUUCGGCCAUUGUGUUAUCCUGGAUCAGAGUCGGUCUUGUGACCAGCAGUUCCUGUUCCUCUCGUCGUGGGGCCACCGCAUUGAUACAUCUGCUUGGACCAGGAAGUAAGGAAGGUGCCUCUUUCUUUAGGUUCUGGUGCUGGGAAUUGUGUAUCCUGCUGUAGGCAGCUAGUCCAGUUUUUCAUGUGUUCUUUUCGCUUUGCUACUUCAAAGAGCUACAAAAUUGAGUUCCAGUUUAGAUGUCUAAUUCAAGGUCAAAUAUAGACUUGGAUAUUCCUGAUCUGUGCGGCAUCGUGUUUUCCUCCAUAACUUUUUUUACUCUUUUUAGCUUUGUUUCAUCCGUUGCGGAGCCAUGGAGACUCUAAUGAGCAUCAUGAUCGGUUAGUUCCUCAAAAAGGCACACACUGUGAACAUGACUUUUCCAGAUACGGUCCAAAUACCUACUGAAGAACUGAUUUUACCAUUGUUUACGUAUCUUUUUAGUCCUCAUGGCUUGAGAAGCGCUGGUCGAACCUAAAAUAUGUUCCUGUUAUGCCCCAACUAUUCGAGAAGGACUGGGUUAGGCAUAUUCAAUCAGCACCUUCAUCAAUCCUGGUUAAAAAAUAAAUGUUUCAUUGUUCUUUUGCUCCUAUUGUCAGCAAAUGUUCAACCUAACUCAGGUCCAGCUCUUAAGUGCUUGAGUACCCCUUGUGAUUUUAAAGGUAGCCCCAAGCUGAUGUAACAGUUGGUUGGGGGGCGCAUAAUAAAUGAAAAUAACAUAACAUAACAAAGGUAGAUCUGGACUUGGCAUUAUUCACCUAAAUGUUAGAAGUCUACUUCCCAAACUGGAUCUAGUGAGGAUCUGGGCUGAAUCUACUGAAACUAACAUAGUUGUCUGAAACCUGGCUUAGGAAAUCAAUCACAGAUAAAGAUAUUGCAAUUAAGGGCUAAAAUGUUUUUUGCUGUGACCGUCCUAGAAAAGGUGGCGGAAUUGCAACAAGCGGACUCACGAAUUUCACGCCCUUCUUUUCAUUCCGCUAUGGCACCAACACGCGCAGCUGCCCGUAAACACGCAUGUGCUGGCGAUUUAUCAAUGGCGAAAAAAUG